RNAcentral lists this ribosomal RNA (635 nucleotides) under Galeandra magnicolumna. RNAcentral's name for it is "eukaryotic LSU rRNA". The stretch from base 229 to 384 matches the Rfam family "5.8S ribosomal RNA". The record is from RNAcentral. Lineage: Eukaryota; Viridiplantae; Streptophyta; Magnoliopsida; Asparagales; Orchidaceae.
UAGACCGAGCGACUCAGAGAACACGUGUAUCGGAGCGACGACAGCUGUCGUCGUGGGAUGGCCGGCCCGGUCGUCGCCCUCAUCUCAUGAUGGGUAGUGCGGGGCACGGCUAGGGACGGAUGAAAGCAAAAACCGGCGCAGCAUCGCGUCAAGGAAUAAUUCAAAAGCACGAGCCCCGCGUGGGGCUCGGUGGCGUGGGGUGCUUCGGCACGUUGCGCGGUUGGACAUGACUCUCGGCAAUGGAUAUCUCGGCUCUCGCAUCGAUGAAGAGCGCAGCGAAAUGCGAUACGUGGUGCGAAUUGCAGAAUCCCGCGAACCAUCGAGUCUUUGAACGCAAGUUGCGCCCGAGGCCGUCAGGCCAAGGGCACGUCCGCCUGGGCGUCAAGCGUUGCGUCGCUCCGUGCCACAGCUCUGACCGCAUCGCAGUGUGGAGUUUGAGGCUCGGAUGUGCAGAGUGGCCCGUCGUGCCCAUCAGUGCGACGGGUUGAAGAAAGGGCAACGUCUCGCAGGCCGCGAACAACAAGGGGUGGGUGAAUGCUGCGAGCACAACCUGCGUUGUCUCGUGUUGGCCCGAGAGAUGGAUCGCGCCUUCAAGGUGAUCCCGACCCAUGCACCGAUCCGCAUGCGGGCGGUGU